GGGGUUGUGGCUCAGUGGGGGAGCGCGCCUAGCAUGCAACGAGGCCCUGGGUUCGAUCCUCAGCACCACA
RNAcentral lists this transfer RNA (70 nucleotides) under Marmota monax (woodchuck). Its description in RNAcentral is "tRNA.Ala". The record is from RNAcentral. Lineage: Eukaryota; Metazoa; Chordata; Mammalia; Rodentia; Sciuridae.